UGGGCUGCCAGGCAGUUAGGCCUAUGGAGAGCUGCUGUCAGUCUCUCUAGGAGGCCAUGGUUUCCUGCAUGUGGGGGAGAGCCCCAUCCCCCAGACUCUGGAGUGAGUUUAAUUUCCCAAGGCAAGUCUGCCUGAUUGUCCUCUCCUUUCCUUACCUUCAGCACCAAGAAGUUUCCGGUCCCGGUACAGAUCAGUGAGGAAGAGGCUAUUGACAAGUGUGGAUUUGCCCAGGCCAGACUCUCCUGAGAGGAGAGAGGACAGAGGCACCAAAUCAGAAGGGACCCUUCUCUGGGCUGUCUGAUAGUCUGCAGAGACACAGCUGCUUCCGUGCUCUGGGAGAGAGGGACUCCUUGGAGAUCUGAUCUCACUAGUAGUCGUAAUUCUUUGGAUGGGCUCAGUUUGUACUGCUUCAUCCUUUGGAGAAGGCUCCAGACCCUCCUUUACUCUCCCGAGAUUCUAGAAAUUCUCAGGACUCAUCCAGAGAAGGAAUCAGCCAGAAGAUCCUAUGAAGACAAGAUCAAACCAAACACGCUGUGUUAGCCCCAGUUUUAAUAAGAAAUCUGACUGAAAACAAAUGGUUGAAUGUGCUGCUAACAGAGAGGGCCAAACGAUGAUGUCUAUUGUGGCAGCUGAACAAAGUGAGACUUACAGAACUGGAACUGCUGCCCUGACAGCAACUGAAGCAGAAAGAGAAGAAAGGAGCUUACAGCCAGGACACUCAAACU
Molecule: non-coding RNA, 725 nt
Filed under: Pan troglodytes (chimpanzee)
Lineage: Eukaryota; Metazoa; Chordata; Mammalia; Primates; Hominidae
Source: RNAcentral